This 492-nucleotide ribosomal RNA is filed under the name uncultured bacterium. Its description in RNAcentral is "partial 16S ribosomal RNA". It matches the Rfam family "Bacterial small subunit ribosomal RNA", at positions 29 to 507 of the family's 1533-position model. The record is from RNAcentral.
AGUGAACGCUGGCGGUAUGCCUAACACAUGCAAGUCGAACGGCAGCACAGUAAGAGCUUGCUCUUACGGGUGGCGAGUGGCGGACGGGUGAGGAAUACAUCGGAAUCUACUUUUUCGUGGGGGAUAACGUAGGGAAACUUACGCUAAUACCGCAUACGACCUACGGGUGAAAGCAUGGGAUCUUCGGACCUUGCGCGAUUGAAUGAGCCGAUGUCGGAUUAGCUAGUUGGCGGGGUAAAGGCCCACCAAGGCGACGAUCCGUAGCUGGUCUGAGAGGAUGAUCAGCCACACUGGAACUGAGACACGGUCCAGACUCCUACGGGAGGCAGCAGUGGGGAAUAUUGGACAAUGGGCGCAAGCCUGAUCCAGCCAUACCGCGUGGGUGAAGAAGGCCUUCGGGUUGUAAAGCCCUUUUGUUGGGAAAGAAAAGCAGCAGGUUAAUACCACGCUGUUCUGACGGUACCCAAAGAAUAAGCACCAGCUAACUUCGUG